GGAAGGUCCGGGCGUUAUCCGGAUNUAUNGGGUNUAAAGGGAGCGUAGGCCGGAGAUUAAGUCAGUNGUGAAAGUNUGCGGCUCAACCGUAAAAUNGCAGUUGAUACUGGCUGUCUNGAGUACAGUANAGGUGGGCGGAAUUCGUGGUGUAGCGGUGAAAUGCUUAGAUAUCACGAAGAACUCCGAUUGCGAAGGCAGCUCACUGGAGCGCAACUGACGCUGAAGCUCGAAAGUGCGGGUAUCGAACAGGAUUAGAUACCCUGGUAGUCCGCACGGUAAACGAUGGAUGCCCGCUGUUGGUCUGAACAGGUCAGCGGCCAAGCGAAAGCAUUAAGCAUCCCACCUGGGGAGU
RNAcentral lists this ribosomal RNA (352 nucleotides) under uncultured bacterium. RNAcentral describes it as "partial 16S ribosomal RNA". It matches the Rfam family "Bacterial small subunit ribosomal RNA", at positions 527 to 881 of the family's 1533-position model. The record is from RNAcentral.